RNAcentral lists this ribosomal RNA (360 nucleotides) under uncultured cyanobacterium. Its description in RNAcentral is "bacterial SSU rRNA". It matches the Rfam family "Bacterial small subunit ribosomal RNA", at positions 360 to 735 of the family's 1533-position model. The record is from RNAcentral. Lineage: Bacteria; Bacillati; Cyanobacteriota.
AAUUUUCCGCAAUGGGCGCAAGCCUGACGGAGCAAGACCGCGUGCGGGAGGACGGCCUAUUGGUUGUAAACCGCUUUUGAUAGGGAAGAAGUUCUGACGGUACCUAUCGAAUCAGCAUCGGCUAACUCCGUGCCAGCAGCCGCGGUAAUACGGAGGAUGCAAGCGUUAUCCGGAAUUAUUGGGCGUAAAGCGUCCGUAGGUGGUUGUUCAAGUCUGCUGUUAAAGCGUGCGGCUUAACCGCAUACCAGCAGUGGAAACUGGGCGACUAGAGUGCGGUAGGGGUCAGGGGAAUUCCCAGUGUAGCGGUGAAAUGCGUAGAUAUUGGGAAGAACACCGGUGGCGAAAGCGCCUGACUGGACC